UAGGGAAUCUUCGGCAAUGGGGGCAACCCUGACCGAGCAACGCCGCGUGAGUGAAGAAGGUUUUCGGAUCGUAAAGCUCUGUUGUAAGAGAAGAACGUGUGUGAGAGUGGAAAGUUCACACAGUGACGGUAACUUACCAGAAAGGGACGGCUAACUACGUGCCAGCAGCCGCGGUAAUACGUAGGUCCCGAGCGUUGUCCGGAUUUAUUGGGCGUAAAGCGAGCGCAGGCGGUUUAAUAAGUCUGAAGUUAAAGGCAGUGGCUUAACCAUUGUUCGCUUUGGAAACUGUUAAACUUGAGUGCAGAAGGGGAGAGUGGAAUUCCAUGUGUAGCGGUGAAAUGCGUAGAUAUAUGGAGUAACACCGGUGGCGAAAGCGGCUCUCUGGUCUGUAACUGACGCUGAGGCUCGAAAGCGUGGGGAGCAAACAGG
This 429-nucleotide ribosomal RNA is filed under the name bacterium. Its description in RNAcentral is "partial 16S ribosomal RNA". It matches the Rfam family "Bacterial small subunit ribosomal RNA", at positions 355 to 776 of the family's 1533-position model. The record is from RNAcentral.